Molecule: long non-coding RNA, 4403 nt
Organism: Athalia rosae (coleseed sawfly)
Lineage: Eukaryota; Metazoa; Arthropoda; Insecta; Hymenoptera; Athaliidae
Exons: 3
Source: RefSeq, a predicted model, not a curated record
ACCACCUACGUUAAUUAUUUGAUAUACGAUAUCGAUCGUUGACGUAUACCUACGUUUCGUUAUAAUCUGCUGCGGCUGCUGCGCCGUCGGAAUAUGUAUAAGAAUGACCCCGAUUCUCAAGGCACUCUGUUCGAUUGCAUAAUUAGUGAGUUUUUCGCGUAUCCGAGGGAUAAGAAGCGGAGAGGCCUAAACCACAAAAAAAGUGAGAAUUUCUCGCCGGUAUAUCAUCACAGUGCAUGUCCGUGAGAAUUCAUCAGUCCUUCAGAUCGUUGACUCUGUUUUUUCAGGGAUACGUUAGGAAAAGGGUUGGUUACAACGGCGCUUUUGAUUCCUCGUCCUGGGAAUAGGUGCACCUCAGACGGCUACGGUUGCAGUCGAGUUUAGAGAUUUGAAAAGUUGAAUUGAAUCGAACGUGGAGAAGGUUAUACGGUAGAUACGUACCUAGAUGUAUACGACAUUUAUUAUGGGUAGGUAGAUGCAUGCAAGUACAUAUUAGGGCGGAUAUAUCGAAGAGGAGAACGGAAAUGGGAAAAUGCAAAGUCGAAGGAAAGACGUAGUGCCUCGUGGUUCACCGGUAGGUACGUACGUACGUACCUACGUAUACGGAUACUUGUAAUAUAUAAUUAUGUGCAAUGCGCUCGAGGACUGCGUGUAUAAUAUCAAAGUAUAUAUGUACCAAGUAAUAAAGAAUAAGUUCGGAGCGGAUAUCGUUGAUGAUUCCUCGCGAGCGUGAUAUACAUAUAAUAUACGUCUAUGUGUAAGUGAAGACUCGGCGAUAUAAAGACACGUUCUUACCGUACGGUUAAGAACUGUUGGUAUGACCAAGUGCGAGUGGUCGAUGACCCAGGUAACGGACCGACAGGUGAGUUAGCCGCCAUUUUGAAUCGCGUUGGCGAAUGAACCGACGCGACCUACGUUUCUAACGAUGAACAUAAACGCGGAGACUUCGUAUUUCCAGUCAUAUCGUAUGAUAUUAUUUCAGAUGUAUGUCGUACUACGCCCUGUGAGAAAACCUCCGACGUACGUACAUAACGCUAUACACGCGCGAUUAUAUCGGCUGGAACGUGGAGUCGUCGAUCAGCCCACGUGAGGAACUAAUUACGCCAAUCUAAUUAACGCGAUCAAUUAAACGCCUUCGGUGAGCGAUUUUUUUUUUUUUUGUUCUUGUUUGUGAGUAUAACAGCUCCCUUGUGUAUAAUAUAAGGUUGUAAAAUAACUCUGCAUAUUUUACUGUGCAUGCACAUGUUAUACGUGCAUAUAUAUAUAUUUUGUUAUACAUUCUCAUAACUUUAGGACAACAUGCCCGCGGACGUAGGUAUAUAUACAUACGAUUAUACUUUACAGGUAUACCGUGACCCAUAUAUUUUGUACCGGUACAUCACCGGUAUGCAGGAAUUAUGUAGUACAUACGUGUAUAAACAUCCGAACGAAGAUCACUCUUCGGCAUAUAUGUCAGGAUUAUCGGAACGAUAUAGAUACGUCAUUUCUAGAGCCAACGAUUUAACAUCAAGAAACAAAGACGAAGAAUUAUCAUCGGGAUGACAUUUCAUGGACAAUAUCUCACAAUCGAAGCAUGCAACGUCGAACUGCAUGUGAUAUCAGCAUUACAAGACGGAGCUGCAGUAGAACAUUAUUUCAAUCGGAUGUGUCGUUAUCAAAUGUGAACUUCCGCGCCUUUUUACAUACGUCGCGAUGUUCUCGAUCUCUGAUAUAACUAUAUGCAUUCAAUCGUACAAUUAACUCGGAAUUUUUGGAUAUACUUAGCAUGAACCACUGCGUAUUGUUUCCUCGUUCAAUCAAGGCCUAGGAAAACGACCAUACUUUAGAAACCUGCAUCGAGCAUCAAUUUUUGGGAUGAUACUUGAGAUCGGAGAAUACGGACACCGGAAUGUCGACAUGGCCGCCCUGAUGAUACCCACCGUCGUGCAACAACCCCUCGGCCAACAUCAUCCGUUAUAUCAAAUUCCCAGACCUACACGGAAUAUAGCCACGAUAUCUUAUCUGUACAGCGUAUCCACCCUUCUCUGAUUCCGCGUAAAUAUCGUUAGUUAACGGUAUGGCGUUGGAUUCGGGAGCCCGCGCUACCAAUCGUCAGAGCCAAAUCUCCGUUUAGCUCAUUGAGCACGUACCGCUGCCCGAUCACGGAAUGCACGAAGAAGUAUUACAGACACAGGCAUCUAUAAGGUACUCGCCUACACCCCGACACCCCCGUUGAUCGUAAAUUAUUGUUCAAGAAAUCGGUCCGCCCACGCGUUGCCGACAUUACCGCGCGAUAUAUUGGAUAUACAUAUACCUAUACAUCCAAUAAGAAAAAGGUCCAAUCAUAAUUUGCAGCGCGCGUACACCUAUAUCAAAAAAAAACGUACGAAACUCAUCUGUACUCAUUUGUGCAGCGUUCUGUAAAAAAUCACCAAAUGCCCAAAUGCGAGUUAUCGCGAUAAACUUGCAAUUUUUCAGCGGUUGUACCGUUGAAUUUUCGAUAACUUUUGUUCAUUCGAUGGUUCAAGGAAUUACCGCACUGGAUAAUUUUCGUUAUUAUUAUUCACAUCAUCAUUAUUGUUACGAGUUAUCCGAGUAGGUAGAGAAAUAUUUCUGCCGCAAGGUCGUAACGCGUCAGCCUCCGCCGCCGGUAAAAACAGCUAUAAAUGCUGAGGUGAAAGUAUACCUCGUUAUAUCUGUCCUGAAAUCGACUUGGUCCGAACCCUACCUCCGUUCGAUUCCAUAUAGACUUGCGUAUUAACUACAAAAGAGAAUAUAAAAUUCGCCAUUACGUAUGAAACUGCCCAUUAUAUACACCUCGAGACUAUUCAAGGAUCUUUCGCUAAAAUUCCUACCGCAAUAUCAUCAUUUUACAUCCGAUAUAUAUUAUACACCAUAUACCCCUAGCUGAAUUUCAAAUUCAUAAUUUAGCGAAGUGAAACUUAUAGGAUGUAAUUAUUAGCUUGCGAUCGCCUAUCCAGUUACUCCAAAUUACUGGAGCAGGCGGACAAAGGAAAAAGGAAACUUUCGUUCUUUGUUCCACGUAUACUGUCGUGAGAUUUUUCACGAUAAACUUUUCAACCAAUAUAUAUAAUAAUAACAAUAAUAAUGAUCGAGUAGAGUCCGUUCACCGCGCGCUUCAUUGGCAUUCAAAUCUUCGGAGCGCGUUUAUGUAAAUUUACUUCACGCCGUUAUGUUCGUAUAAGAAUAGCAAAAUUAGAAGGAUUUUCAGAGAAAAAAAAAAAAAAUGAAGCAGAAAAGAAUACACGGAUUAAAAAAAAAAAAAAGAAGAGAAAAUCCUCAAAGUGCAGCAGACGGAGGAAGAAGAAGCAGCCACAUCGCGGAAGUUAUACUAUGUGGUGAGAACAAACUGAAACUUGGAAGCCCUGGAUCAUCGGCUUUCGGAUGGAAAUAAAGAUAAUAUGAGUGUAUAUACAGGGUGUUAAUAAAUAAUCGUGCCGAACUCGAGGGGGCGAUAAAGUGCACUUAUUGUUAAACAAGUAAUCUGAGAUGAGCAACUCUUGAAUUGUAAACUUGAAAAUUAACGAGUAAUAUCCAAAACAAAUGGACCACAACUUGAAUCCUUCGUCUCCUGAAUUGUGUACCAUUUCGAGUAGGGAACGCGGGUUGGGUUGCCGAUGACCAGGCGUUGAUCACGCUCUUUACCUGCGACCUUCGAUGCCCUGAACGCGACGUUUCCGGACAUGAUUCGCUCAUCUCAGAUUACUUGUUCAAGUGCACUUCAUCAACCCCUUGAGUUUGGCACAAUUAUUUAUCAACACCCUAUAAAAUUCAACCUUGAAUAUCCGAUUCGGGGAUAACCCGAUGGAGUAGAGAUGACUUUUGUGGUACCAAAAGUCGCAGAAUUGCAUCGGAGUCUCGGUGUUCUGAAUUGAGAACCACAGCGCGCGAGACGUAAGAAUGAUCGGACGACAGGAUUUACACGCAUGCUGAAUGAGAAAGGAAAGUUGGGAGGCAACAUUUUUUCAAGGACUACGAGUACUAACGGGGAAUUCGCGGGUAAAGGUCAAAGUGACAUCAUGUGUAAUUGCAUCGGAAAGCCGGAAUGCCGCUCGUAUGCUAGAACUAGCAUGGAACUGUGGUGAGCUGGGAGGCACGUUCAGCAUAAACAUCUCAUUCUUAUUUAGCACGUAACGAAUGGAACCGAAGAGAUAUGAGAAUUAAAAACCUUACCACGUUGGUUUCGGAGCUGAAUCUCGUGAGGAGCGCAUAGUGCCAGCCGGCGACCGGUGACGCACUUUCUCAGGUGUUUAAAGAGAAUACGAGGCUCAAGGUGUGGAGCCUGCUUGAGGGGGAGUGUUCACGCCACCAUGGGCAAAUGCGAAAUCAACCUUACGAAGGGACGACGAAGCGCAAAACGUAGACACUGGGGACGCCCGGGGAACGACGAACACAGCCUCGCA